AGCAGCCGCGGUAAUUCCAGCUCCAAUAGCGUAUAUUAAAGUUGUUGCAGUUAAAAAGCUCGUAGUUGAAUUUCGGGAUCAAUUAGUCGGUCGUGCCUCUGGUACGUACUGGUUUUAUUGGUUCCUCCCUUCUGACGAAACAUGAUGUCAUUAAUUUGGUGUCGUGGAGAAUCAGGACUGUUACCUUGAAAAAUUAGAGUGUUUAUAGCAGGCUAACGCUUGAAUACAUUAGCAUGGAAUAAUGAAAUAGGACGUUCGACCCUAUUUUGUUGGUUUCUAGGAUCGACGUAAUGAUUAAUAGGGAUAGUUGGGGGCAUUAGUAUUCAAUUGUCAGAGGUGAAAUUCUUGGAUUUAUUGAAGGCUAACUACUGCGAAAGCAUUUGCCAAGGAUGUUUCAUUAAUCAAGAACGAAAGUUAGGGGAUCGAAGACGAUCAGAUACCGUCGUAGUCUUAACCAUAAACUAUGCCGACUAGGGAUCGGAUGAUGUUAAUUUUUAAUGUACUCAUUCGGCGCCUUAAC
Molecule: ribosomal RNA, 520 nt
Filed under: uncultured Glomus
Lineage: Eukaryota; Fungi; Glomeromycota; Glomeromycetes; Glomerales; Glomeraceae
Description: SSU rRNA
Rfam family: Eukaryotic small subunit ribosomal RNA
Source: RNAcentral